GGUCGAAGUGGCGUCGAUUUAGAGAGUCCCAUUUAUACCAUCACUUCCGAGGUGCACUUCCUCUUCGCUUCGUCUGCUGUUGUACGAGCAUCCUGGCUAGCGAAUGAGCUGAAUAAGGGAUCAAAUACGGUAUCAAUGUUGUUGAUCGGGCAUCCAUCCCUGCUCCUUCUGGCUGCAGUAGUGGACGCGGCAACCUGUACAGACCAUAGAUAGUCGAAUUGCCAACAAUCAUGACCUUCAGAGAUGAGACCUCUGAAGCGACCCAGACAAGGAUGUAAAUUGGUACUCUACAUGAAAUGGUGUCAUGAUGAACCAUCUCUACCUUAACACCCAGAUAGAGUCUGGCCCCAGCCCAUAGGAUCAAUUUGAAGACCUCCAAGGCACGUAACCUCCUGCAGAGAUGAGGAUUCUGACGACGCAAUGGUAAUUUACGCAUGAUGGUGUCAUGAUGAACCAUCUCUACCUGGACACCCAGAUGGGAGUCUUACCCCAGUCCAUAUAAUCAAUCUCAAGACCUCCAAUACACCUGACCGCCUGCAGAGAAGAGGAUUCUGAAGGGAUGGGAAUUUCAGCGUUUAGCUUAAAAAGACCUCCAAGACGCGUAACCUCCUGCAGAGAUGAGGAUUCUGACGACGCGAUGGCAAUUUACGCAUGAUGGUUUCAUGAUGAACCAUCUCUACCUGGACACCCAGAUGGGAGUCUGACCCCGGUCCAUGGAAUCAAUCUAAAGACCUCCAAGACACCCGUCCUCCUGCAGAGAAGAGGAUUCUGAAGGGAUGGGAAUUUCAGCGUUUAGCUUAAAAAGGACCUCCAAGACACGUAACCUCCUGCAGAGAUGAGGAUCCUGACGAAGCGAUGGCAAUUUACGCAUGAUGGUGUCAUGAUGAACCAUCUCUACCUGGACACCCAGAUGGGAGUCUGACCCCAGUCCAUAGAAUCAAUCUCAAGACCUCCAAGACGCGUAACCUCCUGCAGAGAUGAGGAUUCUGACGACGCGAUGGCAAUUUACGCAUGAUGGUGUCAUGAUGAACCAUCUCUACCUGGACACCCAGAUGGGAGUCUUACCCCAGUCCAUAGAAUCAAUCUCAAGACCUCCAAGACACCCGACCCCCUGCAGAGAAGAGGAUUCUGAAGGGAUGGGAAUUUCAGCCUUUAGCUUAAAAAAGUAAUAUUUUGGGACUCACUUGGAGAGCUAUUGAACUUUGAUCUAUAACAGUGAGAUUUUACUUCAGUCCGUGUUGUUGAUACUUUGUGAGAAUAACAAGUUCUGAGUUUACCAAACUCGUUUUUCGCUUUUGUGUCAGUGCCUGGAAAAUCUAACUUGAAUUUGUUUUAUCACGCCAGUGAUUAGAUCAACAGAUUCCAGCAGUGGGAAUGAAGACCCAGAAAGAAUAUAAAAAUGUAAGCAUUAUUCAGGUUCUGUCAAAUGAAGAUACUUGGCCCUUCAAAAUUGGCAGUACAAUGUUGGAUUUGGAUAGUUAUUAUAAAGCUGCACUUGAUUUACUUGGGUCCAUGUUGUUGAAACUCAUUAGAAAUGUUCAGUUAAAGGCAUAUUGUACGAUUUUCAGUGAUAUGCACUUUUUAAUAUGUUGUUGAAAUUGGUUUUUACAUCCUGACAGCAAUAAAUAACUUAUGGGCAAUGAAAAAGAAGCGAAAAAAAAA
This is a long non-coding RNA of Gadus morhua (Atlantic cod), 1662 nucleotides long. RefSeq lists it as uncharacterized. The record is from RefSeq and is a predicted model, not a curated record. The transcript has 15 exons. NCBI's taxonomy places the organism in Eukaryota, Metazoa, Chordata, Actinopteri, Gadiformes, Gadidae.